Molecule: long non-coding RNA, 8511 nt
Filed under: Olea europaea subsp. europaea
Lineage: Eukaryota; Viridiplantae; Streptophyta; Magnoliopsida; Lamiales; Oleaceae
Source: RNAcentral
CUCGAAUAGAAAAAUGAAUUGCCAAGUCUCCCAAACACAUCUCACCCUUUUCAACACUGAAAUCCCAAACUCGAACCCUAAUCUCUCUAAAACACUUGACCAAUUAUAGCUUCGAAGGUGAACUUUUGUAAAUGCCAUGAACCCACCCUAACUCAAAAUCGAACCUCCAUUACUAUCGAAGGCCACACCCUAACCAUGAAUCUUGGGGAUUUCAAAAAGUGCACAAAGAGGGACCACAUCGAGGUAAAUCCUAUCAUAUUUUUUCUUUUGGUUUCUUCUUUUCAUCUUUACCGCACAUGCUAUGUUUGUAUGAAAAUAAGCACUUGAUAGCAUGAAUCUUGGUUUUUUUUUUUUUUUUUGUUUCAUCUUUUUUCCUCUUUGCUGCACGGAUAUUGUGGUUUAUCUUAAUGUUUAAAAAAAUUCGUUAUAUCGUUCUCAUUGUUGACUUUCUUGUCCAUCAUUUUCCAUUUCAUACGCACUUGAUUACAACAUUGUUUCUUUCGUUGUUGUAGUUGUCUGAUAGAUAAUUUUCUUGCUUUUGCUACUUUUUAUAUUGUGCAUAUUAUUCUUUUAGUAAAUCAGUUAGAAUAGAAAGUACAUAUAAAACUGUUGUUGAUCAUUUUCAAUUUCUUAUUUCAUAAUGGAUACGGAGGAUGACACUGACUUCAAUGAUUUUGACAAAGACAUAUCGCCUGGUACAAACAAUAUGCAAUUUGAAAAAAAUGUGAGGAGGGAAUUGAGUUAGGUUGUGAUAGAGGCAAUCGAACAAGAAGAAGAGGAUAAUGCGGUAGUGAUACACAACAAAUACUAGGAGGCCGAUGAUUUGGAAUAUUUAUAAUCUGAAGAACUAUUGUCUGAUAUGUCACAUGACGAUGAGGUUGGAUGUCGAUUUUCAAAGUUUAUGGCUAAAAUAGAUAUGCGCGAUCCAAAGUUUCAAACAAGUCAGUUGUUCAGUCUGUACAAGAAUUUAGGAAAGCGAUUCGAACUUAUGGUACAGUAAACGGAUAUAAUGUGAAGUGUAAGACAGAUGACAAAAGAAGAGUUCAAGGCAUCUAUAAGAGUGCUGAUGGAGAAUGGGCUUUUAGGAUAAAUAAUUUAGAAACCGCUCAAGUGAAGUCAUAUACGCCUCAACACACAUGUUGUAGAGAUCAGUACAAUCGUCAUUGUAACUUAAUUUUCAUAGUCCAUCAACAUAUGGAGCAAUUUAAGGCAAAUUCGGAGUGGAAAACCCAAAAGUAUGCAAGCAACUGUGAAAGAGAACUUGAAUAUUAAUAUUACUAAAAACGUCGCUUGGUAGGUGAGAAGAUAUGCGAAGCAAUUGUGUAACAAGACUAUCAAAGAACAGUUUGUGGCAUUGAGGUCGUAUGCGGUAGAGGUCUCGAGGAUCAAUCUAGGAUCCAUAGUGAUGAUAACAUUUAGUGGGCAUGUGUUUCAAUGUAUAUAUAUCUGUUUUAGUGCUUACAAAUUAGGAUUUCCACAUGGAUAUAGAAAAAUCAUUGGAGCGAACGAGCCAUAUUCGGGUGUUUGGGGUGGUAUUUUGCUCAUCGCAAUUGGCCUAGAUACAAUGAGUGUAUCUAUCUAGUUGUUGUUGUUGGGAGUCUACUUAACAUGCGCAACGAAAAAUUAAAACGAUUUUCGAUUCCCACCACAGAUCUCUUUGUGUUUAGAUAGAAAUUGUAAUAAAAGUGAUAUAUUUUCUAGAUCUACAAACCCCUUUGUUUUUUCUUUGUUCCAGCAACCUUGAUCUGCCUCCCACAGCUGUCCAAUUGUCCAACCUCCAACGGUGAUCUAAACAAAGAACAAUAUUGUAAGAGUAGAGUUUUUUUCUUGUGUUAGCAAGAAUAAUGAAUUCUCCACAAAUCACAAACCCUAGCCGCUUAUUUAUAUAAACCCAAACGAGCUUGGCCUGACUCGGUCAAACAUUUAAUUAAGCUAUUUAACUAAAUUCGAUCCGUGAAUUAAUUAAUCCAAUUAAUUAAUUCGAGCCUAUAAAUAAGAAGCUCAAUUAAUUAAUUUAUCAACGCUUGUUAAAUUAAUUAAUUGACAAAUCACAAUUUUUCAGUUUUCCUUUUGCAUGCGACCCAUUAGGUUCCCGAUGACGAUGCCUAACGACUUGAAAUAUUAUUUUGAUCUAAUCAAAAUUGAUAAGUUAAAGAACUCUUUUAAUUUAUCACCAAUUCACACUCGUCAUCCCAGAUUGACAUCUAGCAAUGUGUCAGGGCAAUACAUGUGACGAAAAAUGUCACUUGGUAUGACAAAACCAAACUUGUUCGUUUAUCGUGAAAUUAUAAUCUCUUCGUCAAUAUGAUCCUAUCAAUUACGAGAUAUGGAAAUGUGUCAAUCCCUAUUAUCGAUCAUAUCUUUCACUCCACUAUUAAGUCAAUAUAAGUCGAAAAAUCCUUUUCGACUUAUGAGUACACCUUGGUCAAGGAUUUCGCUAUUGACUCAAUUGGAUGAAAUGCAAAUCAUAAUCUCUUACUAUCUAAGAGUAACGAAUCCUCUAUUGGUCAUUCACAACCUUCAUAUGAUUCUCGACAUACCCGAACGAUGCCAUAUUAGCGGCCCUUUGCAGAGCAACAUCCAACGCCGUUAAAGUAUGAAUGUCCACAUAUAAGGCAUUAUAAUGAUCUCAAGUCAAAUGACCAAUUUCACUACUGAACGUUAGAGAUUAACCACUGACACUCAGAUAGUUAUCAGUGUGGAAUCUCUCGACGAGUCUCUAAUGUUUUGUUCUAUAACAAAAUAUCCACGUAUUCAUUCAAGUUUCACCACACUUCAGCUUGUGAGAUCAGUUACUUACAAGUAAGAAAUGUCGCACGUGAUUGUCUAUUCGUAAUGACGAUAUCCGUAUUUCGUUAUUAUUUACAACUACGGACGAUUUAAGAUUCAAUCAUGAUAAGUGUAGUUUCUACACUUAUUUGGGAUCUUAAAUAAUGAUAUUUUGUUAUUCUUUGAACGGAUUAGUACCUGAUUUGCUAUUUAUUGCUUUUAUUAGGAAAAGUUCAUGUUUCAAAGAAGAAUUGGAAAAAAGAACGGAAAAUGGCUAAAUAAAGCAAAUCCAAAGUAUGGGGACCAAAGUGUAAAUAUUUAAUGGUUGAUUUGGACCACAAAAGAUACUUUGAAGAUUGAUAGGAGUCAAUUGAAUGCAAAGGGAUAUGAUUAGAAUAUUACCAUAAAUCGACCUUCAAUCAUAUAGGAUAUUUUCAAGAUUUUUGGUCAACUUGAGACCCAUUUUUCGAAUGGAGAACGUUUGAAUUGGAAAAAAUUGUAGAUCUUUUAAUUAUCUUUCUAAUGCACUUUGAAUCACCUUAAUCGGACACCGAAAGAGAAAGUUAUGAUCAAAAUAUUAAAGGCUGUGUAGAGACAAAAUUAUGUGCGCGCGAAUACAACUUUCCUUAUUUGAUUCAAACUCUUUUGAAAAAUAAUUUGGACGUAAGUUUUGACCUAAUUUCAUCAGAAAAAUACAAGAUAUGGGAAGCAAUGAAAGGGUCUCUCUCUUGCCUCUUCAUACACAAUAGUUUCAUCAAAUUAAUCAAGAACAAGGGGCCAAUUGCUAUAUUUUGGGAGAGAAGAUCAGCCAUAGCAAGGAAUUGAAGUUCAAUUACAUCAAGUUUUGAAGAAUUCAACUUUGGACGUGAAGAUCAAGACUUUUGUAUUCUUUCAUGAUCCGGGUGAUAUUUUUCUAUUAUUCUUCUUGAAAUUUAUAUAUUAAUAUGCUAGACUAGUUUUUCAUUGUAUUGGAUGAGAUGAACCCUAUUAUUUAUUUAUUUUAAUUCAAGACAAGUAUUUAGUUUAAUUUGUAUGUUACUUGAUUAAUUUUGCAUUCCCAUUGCACUAUUGAAUUGUUUGGUCAUCAAUUGAAUAGUUAGUUGCUUGUUGUAGUGUAGGAAUACUCACAAUGAGUCUAGAACGUGGCAAAAUUAACACGUAUAGUUAGGAUUAGGAAUAAUAUAUAUCAUACAUGCAAUCAUAUUGAUAAUUUAAACUAAAUACAUGAUUUUCAUAUGAAUUCGGAUUAGGAAUAGGAUCGGGUCGUGUUAAUCAUAGGUUGGUAUAUCUUGAAAAAGAACAUUUAACAUAUUAGUGUUAUCGAUUGUUAAGAACUCGAGAAAGAAAUUAGAUUACGAAUCAAAAAUUGAAAUUAAUAGCAAUAGGCGGAGUCAAAAUCCAAUACAAUCCUCCAUAAUUUGAUAAAACCCCAAUUUUUAUUGCCUUCUUAGAUUAAUUUAGUUUAAAUCAAAUCAAAAUAUUUAUUUUAUUUUCAUAACUAGAAUUCCAUACGAAACUAGUAAACUUGAAUUAAAUUUAUUUUUCGUGGGACGAUAACUCUUAACUCACUUAUUAUUACUUGUCAACGAUCCCGUACGCUUGUGGGUAUAAUACGAACAAAUCAUAUGUAAUUUGUAUCUCACAAUUACAACUCCUUGUGAUUAACAAAUUACGAAAAUUUGAAUUUACGGACUCUAUUAUGUAAUUUAAUUGCCUAUUAAUUAAAUAAUAGAUCUGUCAUUACAUUAUAUUAAUUAUAUAUUAAAAGUAUUUACGUCCAAUGUUGAUUGGAUUUAGGGCAUAACACUUACAGUUGUCCAAAAAGAGAAUACAGUUGCGUGCAGACAAUUUUUGAAAUAUCUGGCUAAGGAUAUUUAGAUGAAAAAUAGGACUGAUUGGACUGUGAUGACAGAUAGGCAAAAGGGACUAAGUAAUGUUAUUGGUAAGUUACAUCUGAAGACGGAGAAUGGGUUAUGUAUCAGACACAUGUACACAAGCUUUUUCAAUAAGGGAUAUAAGGGCAAGACAUUGAAGAACUUGCUUUGGCAAGCUGCUAAGUCAACUACAUUAGCUGACUGCAGACAUGGAUGCAACAAAUUCGUCAAGUUAGUGAAGAAACUUAUAAAUGACUGAUGGAGAGGCCUCCGACCGAGUGGAGUAAAUCUCAUUUCAGGACACGUUUAGAAAGUGAUAUUUUAUUGAAAAACUUGUGCGAAGUUUCUAAUAAGAUGCUGAUAGAUGAUAAGAAGAAGAUGAUUGUAACGAUGCUAACAGAUAUGGAGUUGGAGUUUAUGACCAUGAUUGAGAAUCGUCAAAGUAAGGUAAGGAUGUACGGAGGGCAAUUGUUUUCAAGAAUAAAAAAGCUUGCUAAGAUAGAUGAGAUGUCCAACGAAUGCAUAUUUCAUUUUUUAGGAAGGCCUAAAUGGCAGGUAGAUUGUAGGUUAGGGACAUAUGUCAUUGACUUGGAAGAGCAGAGUUGCGUAUGUAGGAGGUGGGACUUGAUGGAAUACCAUGUAGUCUUGCCGUAGUCAUCAUACGGAAGUGUAGAAAAAAACCUGAGUAUAUGGUCAACUGCUACACAGUGGAUAUGUCUCUGAGAUGCACUGAUAAUAUUAUGAAUCCAAUUAAUGGGAUACGAUUGUGACCCUAGCUAGACACUCUACCCAGUGGCGAAUCUAGGGACGGAGGUCAGCUAGGGCGGACAUUGACCGACAAUGACCGUUGACCAUUGACCAUUAACAAUCAAUAAUUGUAAUAGCAAUGUCACUUAUUAAUAUUUAAUUAAAAUCUGGAUAGAAAAGAAAAUGUCAAGAAAAAUGCAUCAGGCAACCAGAUGAGCAGCUAGCAAAUACGAAUGUUGUGCAAAGGCAUAGCACAAGAAACCGGCAGCCAACCACAAGAGCACUAGAAGCCUUUGCAAAUGGAUACAUCGCCGUGAACUCGAGACAGAAAAGAAAGAGUCAUCAAGCAACCAGAGGUGCAGCAAUAGAGUAUGAAUCUGAUAUCUUUGUAUUUGCCUUUUGCGAUCAAGUUAAUAGAAAUUAUGCUACUUUGUAUUCUUUAAUUAACAAAUCAGCAUCAAUAUUGUAAGUUCUUCAAGCAUUAUUUGUAAGACACCGUUCAAAAGUUAUGGUUAAAAAGUCACUGUUCAUUUUAUCGUUCAUCAUCAAUAUUUACUAAUUUUUUGGGUAUAAAAUCCUUAAUCCUGAACAUCUUCAACACUUUGGGACGGCAUCUUCUUUUACUUCAAUAUCAUCCAAAGUCUCCAAGAAUUUCUUAUAAUUUUGCCCCAGGAAUUUUGUUGUAUAAUGUUGUUGAAUUCCCCCUCUAUGAAAUUAUAAUAUGUGGUUUGGAAUCCUCUAUGUUUGACCUAAUUCAAAACCAGUUAACGAUUUCACCAUCAUCUUUGAUUAAGAAAUCAAAUUUCAGUGAAGUACACAAUCUUAACCUUAUGUUAAUAACAAAAAAAUUCCGAUCUUGUAUAUCUGUGAAGUACACAAUAUUAGCCAUUGUCAGUAUUUUGAGCAGGACUUCAAGAACUUGCAGUUGUGGCUACUAUUAGGAGGCUGCAGUCGGAUUCAAGAGAGAUUCAGUCUUCUGUGAGAGAGAUGAUGAAUUUGGAUGGUGAUGGAGUAUGGAAUGAGAUGAGGAUGGAAAAUCAGGGUUUAGUUGAGAGAUUUUAGGGAUUAAUAUAAGUUAAUUGGGGGUGAUUGGAUGUAAGAUUUAUGAAUUUUUUAUUGUUUUGAUAGAUAAAUUGUGAGCGUUGGAUCGAUUUAAUUAAAGGCCCCGGAUUAUUUGUCAAAAACGUUUGUCAAAUUCACGUGUCUAAGGAACGGCCCCAAAACAUAAAUUACUUAUCAUAAAUCACAAUCAUAACAAAUAGAACAUACAAGAUUGAUAACAUUAUCCACGUACAUACAACAUUCUCUUGGAAAAGGGGAAAAAAAGGGGGAACAAUGAUGCAACAAAACGCACUCUGAAAUUUAAUAGACCAAAUGCAUAUUAAAACAGAUAUGCGAAAAUUCUGCAAAAUAAAUAAAUAAAUAAAUAAAUAAUAACAACAACAACAACAACAACCUAGUAGAGCCCAUAAUUUAGGAAAGCAGGAAGAACAAAUGAAAAACAGAAAAAUCUUUAAGAGUCAGCGUUGAAAAAAAAAAUCUGAAGGAACCUGAGCGAGGAGUGAGGACUCUAGUCCAGAGUCCUUUAAACUUUCUCCAUGAAUUGGUUCCCAACUUCUCUUUGAAAUGCAUCAUUAAGAAGGCUCCCCAGUAAUCAACACUCGACAGUCAUCUUCAAACCCCUGAAACGAAAUUUACUCUGCUAUAUCAUUGACAAAACAUAGGACAAAAACCAAAAACAAAAAUUUAAUGAAAAAAAAAAAACAGAGAGGGAGAGAGAGAAAGAAAAGGGGAUCACAGAUUCACACUCUGAGACUCUAAGACCGGAGAUUGGAAGGUCGACGGCGAGUCGUCUCGUCGCCCAACACCUCUCGCCGCCCGUCAGGUGUCAACACUCAGCAGCAGCAACUCCACUUUGAUCAAAAUAUAUGGAUUGGAUUUGGACCUAAUGUUUAUAAAUAAGGAGGCCCAUCAAUCACUAGUCAGCCCAAAUAAAAGGGCCCAAACUGGAGGGAAAAAAAAAAAACGUAACCCAGAUGGAAUUCAUUCAUCUUCCUCGGCUUCUUUCUCUGCAACUGCGACUUCUGGUUCUGGUGCCCGGCGGUAGUGAACAUUCCGGAGGAUCCAGCUAGGGCAGCCGCCCUAGCUCGCCAGUACCUGGAUCCGCCCCUGACUCUACCCAUCAUGCCAUCUUCAUGGACUCCUCAGCAAUGGGAAAGAAAGCAAAAGAGAAGAAGGAGACAAGCGGACAAAGAUAUUAUCUCACUAAGGGAAAUCGCAUGUUAAGAGAAAAUGAAAAGUAUCGAUGACAUGCUCAAUAUGUGAAUUACAUGGUCACAAUAAAAGGUAUCACUCAAGACCUAAUGCACCUUUUGAUGUAAGUACUUAAUCAAAGGUUUAUUGCUUAUUUCAAGUCAAAUAACAAUUGAUUAAUUUUUUUUCCUCCUUCUCCAGGACUGGUACGAAGGACAAUUGUAGCCAGUUGAUUGGAAAUGGCACGCGUCAGGAGAUUUAAGGAGACACGUAAGUGCUUAAAUAUUCUUUAGGCAUGUGUGUGAUUUACCGAGUUUAUAAGUUUUUUGCUAACGUAUAUUCAUUUUUAUGGACAGAAAAAACUUCUUCCCGACCAAGGCAAUGGAGCUAGUUCGAGCCAAAUACAUGAGGAAGUUUAUAGCUUUCAAUUCACGCCCACUCUCGACGUCGAGCAGCAAUCUGAAACUGUUGUUGCGAGUGAUGGGCCAGCUGCUCAUGUCCCUACUGUUGAUUAUACGAAUGUGGAGCAUCGUUAGACACACAAGUAUGGACUGAGCAAAUCCAACUUCUAGAAAUGGAUGAUGACUUCACACAACAACAAUAGCAAAUGCUACGGGACGUGGCUGGACAUCCAAUUUUUAUAGGCAGCAUGAAUCUCUUUGUGUAGUGUUUGAUGUAUUUUUGUGCUGGUUGCUGCUUGUUUAGGUAAUGAACUUAGGAAACUGGUGUGGAUGUUGUUUGUACUGCUGGUUUUUAUUUAUUAUUUAUUUUUUUUGCGAAGACAAGAGCAGAUGUGUUUUAUUGAAGACAAUGACUUGAUUAUUGCUGCUUUUUUGAUUUAUUAUAUUUUUUAUAGUUUCAACAAGGA